This 840-nucleotide ribosomal RNA is filed under the name uncultured bacterium. RNAcentral describes it as "bacterial SSU rRNA". It matches the Rfam family "Archaeal small subunit ribosomal RNA", at positions 353 to 1188 of the family's 1478-position model. The record is from RNAcentral.
CACUGCACGCGAGUGCGAUAAGGGGACUCCGAGUGCGAGGGCAUAUAGUCCUCGCUUUUCACGACCGUAAGGUGGUCGUAGAAUAAGUGACUGGGCAAGACCGGUGCCAGCCGCCGCGGUAAUACCGGCAGCACGAGUGAUGACCGCUAUUAUUGGGCCUAAAGCGUCCGUAGCUGGCCACGCAAGUCUAUCGGGAAAUCCGCGCGCUUAACGCGCGCGCGUCCGGUGGAAACUGCGUGGCUUGGGACCGGAAGACCAGAGGGGUACGUCCGGGGUAGGAGUGAAAUUCCGUAAUUCUGGACGGACCACCGGUGGCGAAAGCGCCUCUUGAAGACGGAUCCGACGGUGAGGGACGAAAGUUCGGGUCACGAACCGGAUUAGAUACCCGGGUAGUCCGAGCUGUAAACGAUGUCUGCUAGGUGUGGCACAGGCUACAAGCCUGUGCUGUGCCGUAGGGAAGCCGUGAAGCAGACCCCCUGGAAAGUACGUCCGCAAGGAUAAAACUUAAAGAAAUUGGCGGGGGAGCACUACAACCGGAGGAGCCUGCGGUUUAAUUGGACUCAACGCCGGACAUCUCACCAGCAUCGACAAUGUGCAGUGAACGUCAGGUUGAUGACCUUACUGGAGCCAUUGAGAGGAGGUGCAUGGCCGCCGUCAGCUCGUACCGUGAGGCGUCCUGUUAAGUCAGGCAACGAGCGAGACCCGCACUCCUAAUUGCCAGCAACACCCUUGCGGUGGUUGGGUACAUUAGGAGGACUGCCAGUGCCAAACUGGAGGAAGGAACGGGCAACGGUAGGUCAGUAUGCCCCGAAUGUGCUGGGCGACACGCGGGCUACAAUG